UACGAGGGGUGCAAGCGUUGUUCGGAAUUAUUGGGCGUAAAGGGCAGGUAGGUGGUCUUAUAAGUCUACUGUGAAAUCCCCGAGCUUAACUCGGGACGUGCGGUGGAUACUGUAAGACUAGAGUGCUGGAGGGGUUCGUGGAAUACCCGGUGUAGCGGUGAAAUGCGUAGAUAUCGGGUGGAACACCAGAGGCGAAGGCGGCGAACUUGACAGUAACUGACACUCAACUGCGAAAGCGUGGGGAGCAAACAGG
RNAcentral lists this unclassified non-coding RNA (253 nucleotides) under uncultured Oligoflexales bacterium. Its description in RNAcentral is "contains 16S-23S intergenic spacer region". It matches the Rfam family "Bacterial small subunit ribosomal RNA", at positions 524 to 776 of the family's 1533-position model. Lineage: Bacteria; Pseudomonadati; Bdellovibrionota; Oligoflexia; Oligoflexales. The record is from RNAcentral.